GAUGAACGCUGGCGGCGUGCCUAAUACAUGCAAGUCGAGCGAACAGACGAGGAGCUUGCCCCUCUGACGUUAGCGGCGGACGGGUGAGUAACACGUGGAUAACCUACCUAUAAGACUGGGAUAACUUCGGGAAACCGGAGCUAAUACCGGAUAAUAUAUUGAACCGCAUGGUUCAAUAGUGAAAGACGGUUUUGCUGUCACUUAUAGAUGGAUCCGCGCCGCAUUAGCUAGUUGGUAAGGUAACGGCUUACCAAGGCGACGAUGCGUAGCCGACCUGAGAGGGUGAUCGGCCACACUGGAACUGAGACACGGUCCAGACUCCUACGGGAGGCAGCAGUAGGGAAUCUUCCGCAAAGGGCGAAAGCCUGGCGGAGCAACGCCGCGUGAGUGAUGAAGGUCUUCGGAUCGUAAAACUCUGUUAUUAGGGAAGAACAAAUGUGUAAGUAACUAUGCACGUCUUGACGGUACCUAAUCAGAAAGCCACGGCUAACUACGUG
This 497-nucleotide ribosomal RNA is filed under the name uncultured bacterium. Its description in RNAcentral is "partial 16S ribosomal RNA". It matches the Rfam family "Bacterial small subunit ribosomal RNA", at positions 28 to 507 of the family's 1533-position model. The record is from RNAcentral.